GACGAACGCUGGCGGCGUGCUUAACAUAUGCCAGUCGAACGGAAAGGCCUCUUUCGGGGGGUACUCGAGUGGCGAACGGGUGAGUAACACGUGAGUAACCUGCCCUUGACUUUGGGAUAACUUCAGGAAACUGGGGCUAAUACCGGAUAGGAGCUCCUGCUGCAUGGUGGGGGUUGGAAAGUUUCGGCGGUUGGGGAUGGACUCGCGGCUUAUCAGCUUGUUGGUGGGGUAGUGGCUUACCAAGGCUUUGACGGGUUGCCGGCCUGAGAGGGUGACCGGCCACAUUGGGACUGAGAUACGGCCCAGACUCCUACGGGAGGCAGCAGUGGGGAAUAUUGCACAAGGGGUGGAAGCCUGAUGCAGCAACGCCGUGUGCGGGAGGACGGCCUUCGGGUUGUAAACCGCUUUCGCUCAUGACGAAGCUUUGUGUGACGGUAGUGGGUAAAGAAGCACCGGCUAACUACGUG
This 467-nucleotide ribosomal RNA is filed under the name uncultured bacterium. RNAcentral describes it as "partial 16S ribosomal RNA". It matches the Rfam family "Bacterial small subunit ribosomal RNA", at positions 28 to 507 of the family's 1533-position model. The record is from RNAcentral.